Triplophysa dalaica is the source of this 1084-nucleotide long non-coding RNA. RefSeq lists it as uncharacterized. The transcript has 3 exons. Lineage: Eukaryota; Metazoa; Chordata; Actinopteri; Cypriniformes; Nemacheilidae. The record is from RefSeq and is a predicted model, not a curated record.
UCUAAGGGCCCAGGCAGAUUUAGGGCCCAGAACAGCAGACCCCCUUUUUAUUUUCCUAUUUCUUUUCUCUUUUUUAUACAUACAUUAAAUGUGCUAGGGCCCCUCGUGCACUAAAUGUGUAUUUUGUCCGUUUUGACCAUAGAUUUAAUAUUUAAAAAACAAAUAAUGUAUUUACUGUUUCAGUCACACCCCUCCCUCUCACAAUGGUUCAUUCCACCUGCCCUUUCCGAGCUACGAUCGGUGCUAGUGUAGAGUCUCUUGCUUAUUGGACUUACUAUGAUGCAGCGCAGACAGUGACACACGCAAGCAUGUCACAUCAGAAGUCAGGGCAUCAAAAACGGAAAGAAAAGAAGGAAAGAGAAGACAGAGAACGCCAAAGUCGACAGUAUGUCACACAGUUUUUCAUAAAGAAAGAUGCAGAGUCAGCUUUAUUGUCUGCACCUCGUCCUCCUACCCAGUCCUCUCAGUGUCAGGCUUUGUACUCAUCUUUAGACAUUUUAACUAUGCAAUGUGCUAAGUAUCUUUUUUUCAAGUAUACAGGGCAUGUUUAUUGGGUUACAUUUUAUCUGUAAAAAAUGUAGGGGGCCCAGAAAUUUUGGUUUCCAUAGGGCCCAGAAUUUCUGGCGGCACCCCUGAUGACCUGUAAUUUUUUAGUACAAAAGCUGGUUUUCCAUUUUUUCACCAAGAUUUAGUGGCACUGAACCGCGUUUUGGGUUCUAAUAAGUAGCCAAUGCCAUUGCAGCAGAAGAAAGAAUGUGAAGAAAAGGGAAAACAUGUCACACACUCACGUAAAUAGCUAUAUGCAUUACUAAACAAUGUUUUACCUUAUGGAUAAGGGGAGCGCUAUGCAUCCUACAUUUCUGGAAUAAAUCAGAGAUUUUUGUUUUUCAUUAGUUUCCUUAUUAGUUUCCCUUAAUUUUCCCAUAAUUUUUUUUGCUUCCUGGCACUUGUGUGAUUUGACCCAGCCAGAUGACGCAUCUCAAAAAUGGAAGAGAAAGACAGGAGCCUGUAUUGCCACUGGUUCAGAUAGUUAUUAAUGAUAAUGACAAUAAUAAUAACUCACCAUAUGUGUUCAAUUUUUUGA